GUGCUUGCUUUGGCAGCACAUAUACUAAAAUUGGAAUGAUACAGAGAAAAUUAGCAUGGCCCCUGCACAAGGAUGACAUGCAAAUUUGUGAAGUGUUCCAUAUUUGU
This 107-nucleotide small nuclear RNA is filed under the name Saimiri boliviensis boliviensis (Bolivian squirrel monkey). Lineage: Eukaryota; Metazoa; Chordata; Mammalia; Primates; Cebidae. The record is from RNAcentral.